Molecule: RNA transcript, 1614 nt
Organism: Drosophila virilis
Lineage: Eukaryota; Metazoa; Arthropoda; Insecta; Diptera; Drosophilidae
Source: RefSeq, a predicted model, not a curated record
AUUUACGAGUUUAGGAAAAUGUAUGCAGUUCACACGUGAGUGAGAGCGAGAUGGCAUUGCAGCAAAUAUACCAAUAAGAGUAAGGAGCAAAGAUAACUGCUGGAUCAACACGAACGAUUGAAAGAAGAAGAGUCAACAGUAUAAAUAGAGCAACACUUCGCAGCUGAGCUUCAGUUGAAGCUGCAGAGUGGCCCGGCUAAGGGUAUUUACGUGUUUAAGAAAAUGUAUGCAGUUCACUCGUGAGUGAGAGCGAGAUGGCAUGGCUGCAAAUAUACCAAUAAUAAGAGUAAAGAGCAAAGAUAACUGCUGGAUCAACACGUACGAUUGAAAGAAGAAGAGUCAACAGUAUAAAUAGAGCAACACUUCGCAGCUGAGCUUCAGUUGAAGUUGCAGAGUGGCCCAGCUAAGGGUAUUUACGUGUUUAAGAAAAUGUAUGCAGUUCACACGUGAGAGGAAGCGAGAUGGCAUUGUAGCAAAUAUAUCAAUAAGAAGAGUAAGGAGCAAAGAUAACUGCUGGAUCAACACGAACGAUUGAAAGAAGAAGAGUCAACAGUAUAAAUAGAGCAACACUUCGCAGCUGAGCUUCAGUUGAAGCUGCAGAGUGGCCCAGCUAAGGGUAUUUACGUGUUUAAGAAAAUGUAUGCAGUUCAAACGUGAGUGAGAGCGAGAUGGCAUUGCUGCAAAUAUACCAAUAAUAAGAGUAAAGAGCAAAGAUAACUGCUGGAUCAACACGUACGAUUGAAAGAAGAAGAGUCAACAGUAUAAAUAGAGCAACAGUUGCAGUUGGGCUUCAGUAUAAGCUGAAAGGUGGCUCGAAAAGGGACUUGCGAAUUAAUAUGCAUUUACGCGCAUAAAAUAAUGUUAGCAGAUCACAAAUGAGAGAGAGGGAGAUGGAAUUCAGCAACUACUAUACCUAUAAGAAGAGUGCGGAGCGAAGAUAACUGCUGGAGUAAACGGUAUAAAUAGAGCAGCACUGCAGUCGGGCUUCAGUUGAAGCUGCAAGGUGGCCCCAGCUAAGGGCUGCUUAUUAAUAUGCAUUUACGUGUUUAAAAGAAUGUUAGCAGAUCACAUAUGAGAGAAAGCGAGAUGGCACUGGAGCAACAAUACUAACAAGAAGAGUAAAGAGUAACGACAACUGCUGGACCAACAAGUGCAUGUGUUAUGAAAAUGGCAAAUUGAUCACAUCGUAAACAAGUUAGUUUAUGGGAAGGUCUCAGGAAUGUGACUAUAUAAAUGUUCGUCUCUCGCCUUCUGUUAGAUGAAGAAAAUAAUAGUGCGAGUGAAUUAACGGAUAUAAGAGAAGAAUAGUGCUCGGAAGUCUUGAGCCCAGAGAAGAUAUCUUGGAAAAUCAGAUCUGAAGCAUAUACUGAGGGAUAGACCAAUGCAAAGUAUCAAAACGAUAGCUUUAAAGACAAGAGACAAAUUGUCGGAGGAACUGAGAGGCGGACACAUUCCCUAAAGAAAUUGUAUCUUCUAAAAGGCACUGACAAAUUAAGGACUACAAUGAGCUAUAAGGACCUCCACGACUGAGCAAGCAAAUUUUUCCAGAAUUCACCUUUAAUUAAGCCUGAUAUACUUAUUUUAAGUUUAAAUAAGCUCAAAUUAUAAUUUAAG